RNAcentral lists this unclassified non-coding RNA (1654 nucleotides) under Hevea brasiliensis (rubber tree). The record is from RNAcentral. Lineage: Eukaryota; Viridiplantae; Streptophyta; Magnoliopsida; Malpighiales; Euphorbiaceae.
GAAAAAUAUUAUCAUAAAAUAUAUUUAAGUAUAAACUCAUUUUAGAUUUAAUUAUAUAUUAUAUGAAUUCAUUUGAUUAAAUCGAUUGCUCAAAAAUAAUUUAUCGGUUUUAUUUAUUUUCCGUGAAACGCACGCAUGCCGAAACAUAAGAUUUACUGUUUCAGCACUGGUGUAGAAACUCGAAAGUUUAGUCUCCACUAACUUAAAGAAUUCAUUAAAUUAUUGGGCCAACCGAUGUAUCCAGCCCCACCUAUUAGGAUUUGCCUUUUUCUUUCGUAUGUUUCUUCUUAUAAAUGUUCCCGCACUUGUCGGACAUCCCGUGCUUGGGAUGGUAAAAGGAAUCUUAUCUUAGAUGUGACAUGGGGUAUGGGCAGUCACAAUUUUCAAGUGAUGAUGUUGUGCUCAAUUUGCCCUUUUUUCAUUUUCUUUUGUAUUGUUUUCCAUAUCCUUCCUCUUGCAGAUCCUGAUGGGAUGGGUGCCUUUUGGAGGUUGGUGUCCACUUGUGGGUCCACCAUCUCCUAGGGCCAAAUUUGGGCGGCGACAUCUGUCUUGAGCUUGUAGGUUGGUUGUUAAUACUUGGUAGAGUUCACUGUGAAACAGGUUUAUCUGCAAGUGAUAAUGAGUCAAUUGAUUUUUAGCGGGGUUUUACCUGUGAAAUUGUGCAAGAGAAAUCUGAGACCAGGUUGGCCAAACAUGUCAGUCUGGACUUUGCACUGCCUAUAGUGGGUCCUUCAGUUAUCAGCCUGGCCAAACAUGCAGUGGUCAUUCAGUUAUCAAUGCAUAAUUUCUUUGAAGAUUUUAUGCAAUUUGAAUGUUCACAAUUUAUGCAAUGUAAAAGGACCGAUCCCCUCUUUUUGCUGAUUUUAUAUGCCACCUAUCAUGUUAUGUUUUGGAUGCUCGUCUGCCUAAUGGAUUUUCUUUUGUUGGCGGGGUUGUAGAUAGAAGUGGCCGCAGUUCAAUCAAAAUUAGAGCAGACUAAAAUUGGUCAGUUUGAUUUAGACUCAAAAAUAUUUUCUUUUUUUUUCUAAAAAAAGAAAAUAUUUCUUUUAUAUAAUUUUGACCGUUAAAUUUGAUCAAAUUGAAUUGGAAUCAAAAUCAAAGGAAUCUCUCCAGUUUUGGUCCUCCUAGCGUUGGAACCGGACCUUGGUGGAGUCUUAUUGUCGGUGAGACUUUCCCACCACAUCAUCAUUAUCAUGAUUAUUAGCCAUCAAUUUUUUAUUUUUUAUUUUUUUCCCCCUAAGAUAAGACUAGUUCUCUUAAAUAGAGCAUAAUUUAUAUGAUAUAGAACUCUUAAGAGAAAUGCUAAAUCUUGCUGGAUGGAAACUUUCGACCAUUCAAAUUCUGAUUAUUGGUGGUUCUCUAGGGGUUCAUCAUUUAUUGCUGCAAUAAGGAUCGAGAAUUGCCCGUAGCAUUAGACAUGAACAAGUUUAAUUCACUAAAAUCUUCAACAACUCUUAAUUCUAGCUUUAUACUUUCCAUUUGCUAAACUAAACUGUAUCCCUUUACCUUUUCUGCUUUUGUUUUUCCCCCCUUUUCCUUCUAUUGGUAGUAUUAUAGAUUUUUCAUAAUGCAAGGCCAUGGACUGUGUGUCACGAGUCAUUUUUGUAAUUUUGACUUGCAGAUAGCAGAGUACAGAAGUUACAAACUAGAAAAU